Non-coding RNA from Pelobates cultripes (western spadefoot toad), 180 nucleotides. Lineage: Eukaryota; Metazoa; Chordata; Amphibia; Anura; Pelobatidae. The record is from the annotation of a GenBank genome assembly.
GAGACACAUGGAGGGGCUGGGGGUUGGGUGAGACACGUUGAGGGGUUGGGGGGUGGAAAAUAAACUUUGGACAUGGGCAGAGGUCCUCUGCCCAUGCCCAAAGUUUAUUUUCCACCCCCCAACCUCUCCCAACCCCUCCACGUGUCUCACCCAACCCCCAGCCCCUCCAUGUGUCUCUCC